UACAGAGGGUGCGAGCGUUGUCCGGAAUCACUGGGCGUAAAGGGCGCGUAGGUGGCGACCCAAGUCGAUGGUGAAAGCUCGCCGCUCAACGGCGAGUCGGCCACCGAUACUGGGUUGCUCGAGCACUGUAGAGGCUAAUGGAAUUCCGGGUGUAGCGGUGGAAUGCGUAGAGAUCCGGAAGAACACCGGUGGCGAAGGCGGUUAGCUGGGCAGUUGCUGACACUGAGGCGCGACAGCGUGGGGAG
This 245-nucleotide ribosomal RNA is filed under the name uncultured bacterium. RNAcentral's name for it is "partial 16S ribosomal RNA". It matches the Rfam family "Bacterial small subunit ribosomal RNA", at positions 524 to 768 of the family's 1533-position model. The record is from RNAcentral.